AUACGUAGGGGGCGAGCGUUGUCCGGAAUGAUUGGGCGUAAAGGGCGCGUAGGCGGCCCGGUAAGUCUGGAGUGAAAGUCCUGCUUUUAAGGUGGGAAUUGCUUUGGAUACUGUCGGGCUUGAGUGCAGGAGAGGUAAGUGGAAUUCCCAGUGUAGCGGUGAAAUGCGUAGAGAUUGGGAGGAACACCAGUGGCGAAGGCGACUUACUGGACUGUAACUGACACUGAGGCGCGAAAGUGUGGGGAGCAAACAGGAUUAGAUACCCUGGUAGUCCACACUGUAAACGAUGAAUGCUAGGUGUAGGGGGUAUCGACCCCUUCUGUGCCGCAGUUAACACAAUAAGCAUUCCGCCUGGGGAGUACGGCCGCAAGGUUGAAACUCAAAGGAAUUGACGGGG
RNAcentral lists this ribosomal RNA (397 nucleotides) under uncultured bacterium. Its description in RNAcentral is "partial 16S ribosomal RNA". It matches the Rfam family "Bacterial small subunit ribosomal RNA", at positions 523 to 918 of the family's 1533-position model. The record is from RNAcentral.